This 431-nucleotide ribosomal RNA is filed under the name uncultured bacterium. RNAcentral's name for it is "partial 16S ribosomal RNA". It matches the Rfam family "Bacterial small subunit ribosomal RNA", at positions 29 to 507 of the family's 1533-position model. The record is from RNAcentral.
ACGAACGCUGGCGGCAUGCCUAACACAUGCAAGUCGAACGCGACCUUCGGGUCUAGUGGCGCACGGGUGCGUAACGCGUGGGAACCUGCCCUUAGGUUCGGAAUAACUCCCCGAAAGGGGUGCUAAUACCGGAUAAUGUCUUCGGACCAAAGAUUUAUCGCCUUUGGAUGGGCCCGCGUUGGAUUAGCUAGUUGGUAGGGUAAAGCCUACCAAGGCGACGAUCCAUAGCUGGUCUGAGAGGAUGAUCAGCCACACUGGGACUGAGACACGGCCCAGACUCCUACGGGAGGCAGCAGUGGGGAAUAUUGGACAAUGGGCGAAAGCCUGAUCCAGCAAUGCCGCGUGAGUGAUGAAGGCCUUAGGGUUGUAAAGCUCUUUUACCCGGGAUGAUAAUGACAGUACCGGGAGAAUAAGCUCCGGCUAACUCCGUG